RNAcentral lists this ribosomal RNA (697 nucleotides) under uncultured Roseateles sp. RNAcentral describes it as "bacterial SSU rRNA". It matches the Rfam family "Bacterial small subunit ribosomal RNA", at positions 56 to 755 of the family's 1533-position model. The record is from RNAcentral. Lineage: Bacteria; Pseudomonadati; Pseudomonadota; Betaproteobacteria; Burkholderiales; Sphaerotilaceae.
UGCAAGUCGAACGGUAACAGGUUAAGCUGACGAGUGGCGAACGGGUGAGUAAUGUAUCGGAACGUGCCCAGUCGUGGGGGAUAACUGCUCGAAAGAGCAGCUAAUACCGCAUACGACCUGAGGGUGAAAGCGGGGGAUCGCAAGACCUCGCGCGAUUGGAGCGGCCGAUAUCAGAUUAGGUAGUUGGUGAGGUAAAGGCUCACCAAGCCGACGAUCUGUAGCUGGUCUGAGAGGACGACCAGCCACACUGGGACUGAGACACGGCCCAGACUCCUACGGGAGGCAGCAGUGGGGAAUUUUGGACAAUGGGCGCAAGCCUGAUCCAGCCAUGCCGCGUGCGGGAAGAAGGCCUUCGGGUUGUAAACCGCUUUUGUCAGGGAAGAAAAGGUUCUGGCUAAUACCUGGGACUCAUGACGGUACCUGAAGAAUAAGCACCGGCUAACUACGUGCCAGCAGCCGCGGUAAUACGUAGGGUGCAAGCGUUAAUCGGAAUUACUGGGCGUAAAGCGUGCGCAGGCGGUUAUGCAAGACAGAGGUGAAAUCCCCGGGCUCAACCUGGGAACUGCCUUUGUGACUGCAUGGCUAGAGUACGGUAGAGGGGGAUGGAAUUCCGCGUGUAGCAGUGAAAUGCGUAGAUAUGCGGAGGAACACCGAUGGCGAAGGCAAUCCCCUGGACCUGUACUGACGCUCAUGCACG